RNAcentral lists this ribosomal RNA (468 nucleotides) under uncultured bacterium. RNAcentral describes it as "partial 16S ribosomal RNA". It matches the Rfam family "Bacterial small subunit ribosomal RNA", at positions 28 to 507 of the family's 1533-position model. The record is from RNAcentral.
GACGAACGCUGGCGGCGUGCUUAACACAUGCAAGUCGAACGGAAAGGCCCUGCUUUUGUGGGGUGCUCGAGUGGCGAACGGGUGAGUAACACGUGAGUAACCUGCCCUUGACUUUGGGAUAACUUCAGGAAACUGGGGCUAAUACCGGAUAGGAGCUCCUGCUGCAUGGUGGGGGUUGGAAAGUUUCGGCGGUUGGGGAUGGACUCGCGGCUUAUCAGCUUGUUGGUGGGGUAGUGGCUUACCAAGGCUGUGACGGGUAGCCGGCCUGAGAGGGUGACCGGCCACAUGGGGACUGAGGUACGGACCAGACUCCUACGGGAGGCAGCAGUGGGGAAUAUUGCACAAUGGGCGGAAGCCUGAUGCAGCAACGCCGCGUGCGGGAUGACGGCCUUCGGGGUGUAAACCGCUUUCGCCUGUGACGAAGCGUGAGUGACGGUAAUGGGUAAAGAAGCACCGGCUAACUACGUG